GCUUACGCCAUACCACCCUGAGCACGCCCGAUCUCGUCCGAUCUCGGAAGCUAAGCAGGGUCGGGCCUGGUUAGUACUUGGAUGGGAGACCGCCUGGGAAUACCAGGUCCUGUAAGCU
RNAcentral lists this ribosomal RNA (118 nucleotides) under Carassius auratus (goldfish). The record is from RNAcentral. Lineage: Eukaryota; Metazoa; Chordata; Actinopteri; Cypriniformes; Cyprinidae.